UACAGAGGUCCCAAGCGUUGUUCGGAUUCACUGGGCGUAAAGGGUGCGUAGGCGGUCGGGUAAGUCUGAUGUGAAAUCUCACAGCUUAACUGUGAAACUGCAUUGGAUACUAUUCGGCUUGAGAGUUGGAGGGGGGACUGGAAUUCUUGGUGUAGCAGUGAAAUGCGUAGAUAUCAAGAGGAACACCAGUGGCGAAGGCGAGUCCCUGGACAACUUCUGACGCUGAGGCACGAAAGCGUGGGGAGCAAAAGGG
Molecule: ribosomal RNA, 253 nt
Filed under: uncultured bacterium
Lineage: Bacteria
Description: partial 16S ribosomal RNA
Rfam family: Bacterial small subunit ribosomal RNA
Source: RNAcentral